RNAcentral lists this long non-coding RNA (3260 nucleotides) under Homo sapiens (human). RNAcentral's name for it is "HSALNT0187883". Lineage: Eukaryota; Metazoa; Chordata; Mammalia; Primates; Hominidae. The record is from RNAcentral.
GGGAUUACAGGCAUGAGCCACCAUGCCUGGCCUAGUUAUGGCUAUUAUAAAAUAGAUAUUGAGGAUUUAGAUAUUUUACUUCCCCUUCAGCAUUUGGUAUUCAUUGUUCUAUCGCAGUUUUUAUUUAAAUCAAUAUUUAGUAAUUAUAUCAUCUUAACUAUGUAUAUAUGAUUCAUAGCCACAUCAUGUGAAACAUUCUGAUUAUAUUUCAUUUCUUAUACAAUGUCUUGUUUUCCCUGGAGUUAAUAUUGACCGUCCUUUUUGUUUGUUUACUGAGUAUUUAUCUAUACAUCUUUGCAACAGAGACUGAUAAAUGUCACCUGUUAUCACCCGUCUCUCCUUCCAAAGAAAGAGAACUCCCAACUUUUAACCUGGCACAUGAUUACCCAAAAUGAAGACUCCAUAUAUCAGCCAUGGCCAAGUUUCUGACCAAUGAGAUAAAUAAAACAGACACGACUGGAUGUGAAACAGUCAUUUGGACCAUGAAGUGACCUUGGAAAAGGAAGCCAGGACUGGUGUCCAUAUAAGAAGAUAGCCCUGUGAAGACACAGACUCAGAGAGAAUUCUAAUAUGGAGAUGGAAACAAAAUCUGUAGUCAUGCUGCUCCAAGCUAAGGAAUACCUGGGGCUACCAGAAGCUCGAAGAAGCAGGAGAAGUUCCUCCCUAGAGGCUUCAGAGAACAUGACAUCUGACACAUUGAUUUCAGUUGGCUGACCUUCAAAGCGAUGAGAUAAUGUUGCUGUGUUUAUGUUGGAAAGGAAAGAUUCUGCCAAUACCAGAGAGGCUAGACUGAACAACCAACAGGAAACGUAUUAUAACAAGGUAGAUAAAGUAUGGAAGCAUUUGCACAAAAGUGAAGACUAGAAUGGCAAAGAAGAGAUGGAUUCAAGAAGCCCUAUGAAGGUAACAGUCUGGAUCGGUGAAAAAGGUUGAGGCAAGCGAGGAAGAAACUGAGGAAGAUUCUGAGGUUGCUGACUCGAUAAUUAAUGGAUAGUAAAUGCAAGUGAAGAGAGCAUUUUAUAAAUUACACAUUCAUAGUAAACUAUUAAAUUUAGUAUACAGCACAAUGUAAGUGCAACUUUAAAAGAAAACUGAAACAUGCUUAUUAGAUAUGUUAGAGAAAUUGAUGUUACUUUUAUGAGCUACUGGAGAGAAACUUUCAGUUUUAAAUAGCUUAGUUCUCAGUAGACAUUCAUUGUUUCCUGAAUGAGGGAAAUGGUACAAUUUAUUCAUUCGGCUAUGGGCAUGCAAAAUGUUAAGUUGGUGACAAUUUGUAUCUUCGUGGGUAUUUUUAACUUACUUAGCAAGCAGAUUAAGGGAAUAAAUUAUUAGGCAAAACUUGUAACAUUUACACAGAAAAUUUCAAUUGUCUGUAAGUGGAUUUUUGCUAUAUACCAGGUACAUUAUGAUUAGUCACCUCUUUGAAAGGUAAACAUUUAAGUAAUGAGAAAGAAUUUUUAAAAUGCUUCAACAUGAAAUGAAUGAGAAUGCCAACUACAUCAUAAAAUCCAGAAUUUUAACAAUACAAUCCAAAGCCAAAUAACAGUCAGGAUUCAGGCCUACCUCAAAAAUGCAAAGGAUAUAAAUGCAGGGAAAGCAAAGGAGGGCUAAUUUUGGCCAAGUUGGCUAUAUUUCCCUGGAAUGAAGUUAGCUACUUGAACAUUUUUAUAAAAAGAUGUUUUACAUGACUUGUAAAGCAACAUCUGUUCCUAAAGGCACUUUUAUAGGAUAAGUCUUAAUGAAAUUAUUUUUCAUUGAGGGCUAGUUUAGAUUCUACUGUAAGAAAGACCUGAAUGAUGCACUAGGGCAGUUUUAUGGAGUUGUCUUCCCCUGACUACAUCCCCCCACUCACUCCAUAUUUCUCCCUCUAGCUGAAAGCUGUAAACAUUUUAGGGCUUUGUGAUAGUCCCAGAACAAAACAGAACAUAUGUAGUAUAUUUUCAUAUGAGAAGAAAAAAAACCCAAACCCAUGAGGUCCUAAUUUCUAAAGUAUGCCUUCUGCCCAAAAUGCACCCUUGAUGGUGCCUCGAAAGUGUUGCAAAUCACUUAACACAAAUUAUUCAGAUUUAGAUGAAUCUGAAGCCCCAUCAGAAGAAUAUUAGUGGACUAUUUCACAUGGAGCCCAAUUAUAUGAUUUCUAUAUCAUUCCCUGACUACCCACUAAAAUUUUGCUGAUAUUAGCCUAUCCAAAAUGCCUUUCCAGGAUUUAAGUACCAAUAGUGUCUAUUACAAAAUUCAUCCGUGGUUUCUGUCAGAUUUCAGUUAAAUGCACAACAGGGAGAAAAAGCUGCUAGAAAACUGCAGAUUCCAUGGAUAAAGAAACAAAGAGAUGUAUUGUGUAUUGCUCUCAUAUUCUUGCAACCAGCACCUGAGUUAUCUGAUGACUGCUUCAUAACUGAAGGCUGCUGCAAUAUCCCUUUUGAAAAGUUGCACAAUAGCCCAAGUUUAAAAGAGAUCAACAUUUUACAUAUGAAGCCGGUACAGAGGGCCAUAACGUUCUCUCUCUCUUCCCCAUCCCCCCAGCCCCCUUUUUACUGUGCCCUUUGCAGAAUGUGUGGAGCCUCCUUUAUCAGGCCAAGAGAGAAGAAGCUUCUGCAUAAACAGAAGUGAUUGGAUUCUACCCUAAAAACGAAAAACCCAUUGAACAAUUAAGGAAGAAAUAUAAGGGGGAAUUUUUUUCCCUUGUGUUAAUGUCAAUAUUAACAUACCGCUAUAGGUUGAAAUACUUUUUUUUUUUUUUGAGACAAAGUUUCACUCUUGUUGCCCAGGCUGGAGUGCAAUGGCACAAUCUUCACUCACUACAACCUCUGCCCCCUGGGUUCAACCAAUUCUCCUGCCUCAGCCUCCCAGGUAGCUGGCAUUAUAGGCACCCACCACCAUGCCUAGCUAAUUUUUGGUAUUUUUAGUAGAGAUGGGGUUUCACCAUGUUGCCCAGGCUGGUCUCGAACUCCAGACCUCAGGUGAUCCACCUGCCUUGGCCUCCCAAAGUACUGGGAUUACAGGCAUGAGCCACUGAGCCCAGCCAAUAUACUUUUAAAACCCUAUUAAUUUGUAAAUUUUUAAGUGUGUACCAUUGAGAAAGAAAAGAAAAAGAAAUCUUUAGCAAGUUGGCAAAAUAGGCAGAAAGAAUAAGCAAUAGAAUAUAGGGACACAAUUCACUAUUUGAAUUUUAAUACUCUUAUGCUUUCAUAUGUGUUUAUAUAUGCAUAUAAUGCCUGUUGACUGAUUUUUUCUUCUUUUUUUAUAUACCUUGGUCACUG